Long non-coding RNA from Gavialis gangeticus (Gharial), 144 nucleotides. RefSeq lists it as uncharacterized. The transcript has 2 exons. Lineage: Eukaryota; Metazoa; Chordata; Crocodylia; Gavialidae. The record is from RefSeq and is a predicted model, not a curated record.
CCUCUCAGCCUUCUCUUGUGGAGGCUGAACAGGUUCAGGUCCCAUAGCCUUUCCUCACAGGACCUGCCCUGCUGCUCCCUGACGAUGCGAGUGGCCCUCCGCUGGACCCUCUCGAAGCUGGCCACAUCCCUCCUGAAGUGCAGC